RNAcentral lists this ribosomal RNA (253 nucleotides) under uncultured bacterium. RNAcentral's name for it is "partial 16S ribosomal RNA". It matches the Rfam family "Bacterial small subunit ribosomal RNA", at positions 524 to 776 of the family's 1533-position model. The record is from RNAcentral.
UACGAAGGGGGCUAGCGUUGCUCGGAAUCACUGGGCGUAAAGCGCACGUAGGCGGCUUUGCAAGUCAGAGGUGAAAGCCCGGGGCUCAACCCCGGAAUUGCCUUUGAGACUGCAUCGCUAGAAUUGUGGAGAGGUAAGUGGAAUUCCGAGUGUAGAGGUGAAAUUCGUAGAUAUUCGGAAGAACACCAGUGGCGAAGGCGACUUACUGGACACAUAUUGACGCUGAGGUGCGAAAGCGUGGGGAGCAAACAGG